AUCUCAGCGUACACCAAGCGGCGCUGACGACCCUGCUGCCGCUGAAUACACAUGAGCUUUCCCUGACCGGCUAAAGAAGGAUUUUAUACCAGUCAUUUCAACAUAUACUGACAAAGGCCAAAGAAAAUAAAUUAUGUUACAACUGUAAAAUACUUUACAAAACUACAUUUCAUUUCUUCAGAGGAAUGGCAGGGAAAUUAUGACACAUCUAUGGAGCAGAUGGGACUUCAACCUCGGUUCCUGGAUCAGAGGUAAAACCACUGCCACUGUGCCACAAGAGAGGAAGAAAAUUACUGUGCGGGCAGGAUGAGUAUCUCAAACCACUGAAUCAUGACAGCAGACUCUCAAUGCAGACAUCAAUCCAUGAUCGAUCCUGUGUGGCUAUGAGGUUAUGCCUCACACUGGAACAAUAAUAUUCGUGCUACACAGAGAAAUCAACAACCGGAUAUUCAUUGGGGAAUUUGCUGUCUUUGAUUUCCUUUCUCUGCAGUCAAAAUGGAGCCAGGGGAGUCUUGCAGUUUGAUGCUAAAACAUGGAGUCAGAAGACACCUGAUGAAGGAGCAACCCUUCAAAAGCCUGGUGAUUUUAAAUAAACUUGUCGGACUAUAACUUGGUGUUCGUGUAUCUUCUGACUUUGUCCACCCUAGUCCAACAUCGGCACCUCUACACAUCUCAUCACUGAUGCUGCCAGACCCAUUCAGCACUGCCAGCACUUGCAUUUUCAUU
Molecule: long non-coding RNA, 726 nt
Organism: Stegostoma tigrinum
Lineage: Eukaryota; Metazoa; Chordata; Chondrichthyes; Orectolobiformes; Stegostomatidae
Exons: 6
Source: RefSeq, a predicted model, not a curated record